GACGGGUGCUGCAUGGCUGUCGUCAGCUCGUGUUGUGAAAUGUUGGGUUAAGUCUCGCAACGAGCGCAACCCCUAUCUUUAGUUGCCAGCAUUAAGUUGGGCACUCUAGAGAGACUGCCUGGGUUAACCAGGAGGAAGGUGGGGAUGACGUCAAGUCCUCGUGGCCCUUAUGUCCAGGGCUACACACGUGAUACGAUGGUGCAUACAAAGGGAAGCGACCUGGUGACAGUGAGCAAAUCUCAAAAAGUGCAUCUCAGUCCGGAUUGGAGUCUGCAACUCGACUCCAUGAAGUUGGAAUCGCUAGUA
RNAcentral lists this ribosomal RNA (306 nucleotides) under uncultured Peredibacter sp. RNAcentral describes it as "bacterial SSU rRNA". It matches the Rfam family "Bacterial small subunit ribosomal RNA", at positions 1033 to 1340 of the family's 1533-position model. The record is from RNAcentral. Lineage: Bacteria; Pseudomonadati; Bdellovibrionota; Bacteriovoracia; Bacteriovoracales; Bacteriovoracaceae.